CACCUAAUAUUACAUCCUGUUCUUUUGAAUUUUUGCCAGCCACUUCAAGGUUUAACUAAAUCUAAACAGGGGAGCCCAUCCUUAUCCAUGUAGAUCAGUGGUUAUCAUAGCUUUCUAGACGUCUCGCUGGUGGGGUGCUCUGCGGGGAGGAAGUGAUGCAGGGAAUAUUCCCUUAAUGUCCACAUAAGGGCGAAACACAAAGAAACUGUAAGCCUUUCGUACUGGUUCAUCUGAGUUGUUUGAUUUAGCAGUCAAUUUAAAGUAGAAGUCAGUCGUUUAUGGCGGUUGUUUGCAAACCAGGUGCGUUCUUAUCAGGCGAAAGUCAACUGAAACGCUCGGUUUUGUUUUUGAUGCUGACUAGCUAACGUUAGCUGGCUAUCUUUUUAGCUAUGUGAGGAUGUUUGUGUCGUGUCCUAAGAUAGCAAGCUAACGUUUUGUUUUACUAGCUAAUGUUAUUGGGGUGAUGUACGCGAUUUUCUAGACAAUCAUUUCUUUUUAAAAGCAAGUAAACAAACUGAAUCUACAUGUGGGAGAAUGCUUAUGGUGACAAGAUGGUGUGUGUCAUACAGCAUUGCGGUCACUACAAUGGAGCAGAAAAAGAUGACACCAUCUAGAGUGGUCAAUGCAUUCUGAGGAAGUGUCUGGCUCAAGGGCAUGUUGAGACGUCUCACCAGGCCAGAGCAGAGGCGUCUAGGUGGGGCAGGCAGGGCCUGAAGGAGGUGG
This is a long non-coding RNA of Oncorhynchus keta (chum salmon), 723 nucleotides long. RefSeq lists it as uncharacterized. Lineage: Eukaryota; Metazoa; Chordata; Actinopteri; Salmoniformes; Salmonidae. The record is from RefSeq and is a predicted model, not a curated record. The transcript is spliced from 3 exons.